CCUUGCUCUCUUGACCUAGAAAUAUGAGAGAAACUGUUCAAACUCCCUAGUUGUGUCUACAAAGAGCCAUGAGCCUCUGGAGGGAGAGGAAAAGAGGUCAAGAAUGAAUAUUUCCCAUUAGCACAGAAGACUUUGAGAGCCCUCUCAUCUUUUUCUCUGAAGCUGUAGGGAGUUCUGUUUCCUUUCACCAGUGCUCCAUGUUGCAGGACCCAAAGUGAAUUUUUGGGGAACUCAGGGAAGAUGAGAGCUGAUCCAAGAUUCCGCACUAACCUCCAUAGCCACAGUAUUCAGAAAUCAAGCAUCUGGGUUCAGAAAUGAUGACGUGCUUUAGUGAAGCAUGUGGUUAAAGGGCCAGAGCAUGGAAUUCUUCCCAGCGUCACAGAAGAUGGCACAGCCUGGGGACAAUCGGGAAUCACCUGGAGGAUGGCAGGUAGCACUGUUAUAUUUACUUAAAAAUUUGGCCAGGCAUGGUGGUUCACCCCUGUAAUCCAGCACUUUGGGAGGCCAAGAUGGGAGGAUAGCUUGAAGCCUGGAGUUUGAGACCAGCCUGGGCAACAAAAUGAGACCUUAUCUCUGAAAAGAUUUAAUCUUUUAAAAAAAUUUUUUAAAUUU
RNAcentral lists this long non-coding RNA (612 nucleotides) under Macaca fascicularis (crab-eating macaque). Its description in RNAcentral is "lncRNA (ENSMFAG00000046443.2)". Lineage: Eukaryota; Metazoa; Chordata; Mammalia; Primates; Cercopithecidae. The record is from RNAcentral.